Molecule: non-coding RNA, 2081 nt
Organism: Populus tomentosa
Lineage: Eukaryota; Viridiplantae; Streptophyta; Magnoliopsida; Malpighiales; Salicaceae
Source: the annotation of a GenBank genome assembly
GCACGAUCUCUCUAGGGUGUUUCCACUUGCUCUCGUGGUCAUGCAUGUGUAAGUAUGAACUAAUUCAGACUGUGAAACUGCGAAUGACACAUUAAAUCAGUUAUAGUUUGUUUGAUGGUAUUUGCUACUCGGAUAACCGUAGUAAUUCUAGAGCUAGUACGUGCACAAACCCCGACUUCUAGAAAGGACGCAUUUAUUAGAUAACUCGAUGAAUCGCAUGGCCAUCGUGCUGGCGACGUAUCAUUCAAAUUUCUGCCCUAUGAACUUUUCAUGGUAGGAUAGAGGCCUACCAUGGUGGUGACGGGUGACGGAGAAUUAGGGUUCGAUUCUGGAGAGGGAGGCUGAGAAACGGCUACCACAUCUAUGGAAAGCAGCAGGCGCAAAAAUUACCCAAUCCUGACACGGGGAGGUAGUGACAAUAAAUAACAAUACCGGGCUCUUCGAGUCUUGUAAUUGGAAUGAGUACAAUCUAAAUCUCUUAAUGAGGAUCCAUUAGAGGGCAAGUCUGGUGCCAGCAGUUGUGGUAAUUCUAGCUCCAAUAACGUAUAUUUAAGUUAUUGUAGUUAAAAAGCUCGUAGUUGGACUUUGGGUUGGGGCGGCCGGUCCGCCUCAGGUGUGCACCGGUCGCCUCGUCCCUUCUACCGGCGAUGCGCUCCUAGCCUUAAAUGGCUGAGUCGUGCCUCCGAUGCUGUUACUUUGAAGAAAUUAGAGUGCUCAAAGCAAGCCUACGCUCUAGAUACAUUAGCAUGGGAUAACAUUAUAGGAUUUCGAUCCUAUUGUGUUGGCCUUCGAGAUCAGAGUAAUGAUUAACAGGGAUAGUUGGAGGCAUUCGUAUUUCAUAGUCAGAGGUGAAAUUCUUGGAUUUAUGGAAGACGAACUACUGCGAAAGCAUUUGCCAACAAUGUUUUCAUUAAUCAAGAAUGAAAGUUGGGGGCUCGAAGAUGAUCAGAUACCAUCCUAGUCUUAACCAUAAACGAUGCCGACUAGGGAUUGGCGGAUGUUGCUUCUAGGACUCCACCAACACCUUAUGAGAAAUCAAAGUUUUUAGGUUCUGGGGGGAGUAUGGUCGCAAGGCUGAAACUUAAAGGAAUUGACGGAAGGGCACCACUAGGAGUGGAGCCUGCUGCUUAAUUUGACUCAACACGGGGAAACUUACAAGGUCCAAACAUAGUAAGGAUUGACAGACUAAGAGCUUUUUUUUUUUGAUCAAUUGUAAGAAUAUAUUAUAGAUCAAAAGUUACAAAGCUGGAAACAACAAAAUAGGAAAUAAAUACAAGAGGAACAGAUAAGGAUACAAGCUCCCUAUGAGACAAAUAAGAAGACAAAAGCAUUACAAUCCAUUAUCAAAAUAAAUAAAUAAACUAAAGCUAGCAAAGGGUAAGGACUGCCUAACUACUAGCCAGCCAAGCCAGGACAAAGGAAUCAACCGAAGGUCAAUAGCACAUCCUAGCAAAACAAAGAAGCCAAUAGAGCAACCCUACCACAAAGAUCAAUCAUUCUAUUACAAAGGGAGAAGAUUGACUUCCAUAAAGAAGAGUCAGUUUUCUUUGCAUCCAAGGACCAGAUGGAGGCAUGUGAAAUGUAGUAAUGGUCUACCCAUCGAAUCCAGAGGGAAUCAGACUUCAAGUGAAUAUUCCAGAGAUGCUUGGCAAAAAAACUAUCAUUUCUAGCCUUGAUGUCAAGAACCGCCGGACCCCCUUCAUCCUUUGGCAAACACACCUGCUUCCAAGCAACAAAAGUAGAUUUACUUCUAAGCACAUCCCCGGUCCAUAGGAAAUUUCUGCACAGACUGGUAAUCUUGUUGAUAACUACUACUGGAAUAGGGAAGAUGCUAAUCCAAAACUGCACCAUGCCAUGCAGGACUAAUUUUAUUAACUCCAGCCGACCAGCAUACGAGAGAUGCUUUCCCAUCCAACUCUAAAUAGCCAAUUCUAACUUGUGAAUGAGGGGAGAGAAUUGACUAGCGAGAAGCUUGUGAGGGCUGAGGGGGACACCGAGGUACUUAAAUGGAAAAGGUCCCUUCGAUGAACUGGAAGAGCUUGAGAAUGGCUUGCUUCAUAUCCCCCGAUACACCAACAAAG